Molecule: ribosomal RNA, 467 nt
Filed under: uncultured bacterium
Lineage: Bacteria
Description: partial 16S ribosomal RNA
Rfam family: Bacterial small subunit ribosomal RNA
Source: RNAcentral
GACGAACGCUGGCGGCGUGCUUAACACAUGCAAGUCGAACGGAAAGGCCUCUUUCGGGGGGUACUCGAGUGGCGAACGGGUGAGUAACACGUGAGUAACCUGCCCUUGACUUUGGGGUAACUUCAGGAAACUGGGGCUAAUACCGGAUAGGAGCUCCUGCUGCAUGGUGGGGGUUGGAAAGUUUCGGCGGUUGGGGAUGGACUGGCGGCUUAUCAGCUUGUUGGUGGGGUAGUGGCUUACCAAGGCUUUGACGGGUAGCCGGCCUGAGAGGGUGACCGGCCACAUUGGGACUGAGAUACGGCCCAGACUCCUACGGGAGGCAGCAGUGGGGAAUAUUGCACAAUGGGUGGAAGCCUGAUGCAGCAACGCCGUGUGCGGGAUGACGGCCUUCGGGUUGUAAACCGCUUUCGCUCAUGACGAAGCUUUGUGUGACGGUAGUGGGUAAAGAAGCACCGGCUAACUACGUG